RNAcentral lists this ribosomal RNA (468 nucleotides) under uncultured bacterium. RNAcentral's name for it is "partial 16S ribosomal RNA". It matches the Rfam family "Bacterial small subunit ribosomal RNA", at positions 28 to 507 of the family's 1533-position model. The record is from RNAcentral.
GACGAACGCUGGCGGCGUGCUUAACACAUGCAAGUCGAACGGAAAGGCCCUGCUUUUGUGGGGUGCUCGAGUGACGAACGGGUGAGUAACACGUGAGUAACCUGCCCUUGACUUUGGGAUAACUUCAGGAAACUGGGGCUAAUACCGGAUAGGAGCUCCUGCUGCAUGGUGGGGGUUGGAAAGUUUCGGCGGUUGGGGAUGGACUCGCGGCUUAUCAGCUUGUUGGUGGGGUAGUGGCUUACCAAGGCUUUGACGGGUAGCCGGCCUGAGAGGGUGACCGGCCACAUUGGGACUGAGAUACGGCCCAGACUCCUACGGGAGGCAGCAGUGGGGAAUAUAGCACAAUGGGCGGAAGCCUGAUGCAGCAACGCCGCGUGCGGGAUGACGGCCUUCGGGUUGUAAACCGCUUUCGCCUGUGACGAAGCGUGAGUGACGGUAAUGGGUAAAGAAGCACCGGCUAACUACGUG